GUACCGGUUCUCGUUAGAUCACCGAAGUCAAGCAUCAUUGGGCGCGGUCAGUACUUGGGUGGGUGACCAUCUGGGAACACCGCGUGCCGUU
Non-coding RNA from Caerostris darwini, 91 nucleotides. Lineage: Eukaryota; Metazoa; Arthropoda; Arachnida; Araneae; Araneidae. The record is from the annotation of a GenBank genome assembly.